GACGACGCUGGCGGCGUGCCUAACACAUGCAAGUCGAACGAGGUCCAUCUGGUGGCAACACCAGUGAAGACCUAGUGGCGAACGGGUGAGUAACACGUGAGGAACCUGCCCCGAAGACCGGGAUAACUCUCCGAAAGGAGUGCUAAUACCGGAUACCCCCACCGAGCCGCAUGGUUUGGUGAGGAAAUGGAUUCCGCUUCGGGAGGGCCUCGCGGCCUAUCAGCUAGUUGGUGGGGUAACGGCCCACCAAGGCAUCGACGGGUAGCUGGUCUGAGAGGACGAUCAGCCACACUGGGACUGAGACACGGCCCAGACUCCUACGGGAGGCAGCAGUGGGGAAUCUUGCGCAAUGGGCGAAAGCCUGACGCAGCAACGCCGCGUGGGGGAUGAAGGCUCUCGGGUUGUAAACCCCUUUCAGCAGGGACGAAUCAAGACGGUACCUGCAGAAGAAGCCCCGGCUAACUACGUG
RNAcentral lists this ribosomal RNA (469 nucleotides) under uncultured bacterium. RNAcentral describes it as "bacterial SSU rRNA". It matches the Rfam family "Bacterial small subunit ribosomal RNA", at positions 33 to 507 of the family's 1533-position model. The record is from RNAcentral.